CCUAUGGGUUUCUAGCUUCCUUCUUCAUCAACAACAACCAAUGAUUUGUUGGUAAAUUAGAAAGGUAUGAUUAUGUGAGAAAUAGAAUAAUUAGACAAAUGUAGGGUUUUCAUUUUGUUGUUGAUAAUGAAAAUGGGAUAAUUUGGGGUUAGGGUUUUAUUUUUGUUGGUGUUCUAUUUUUUUGUCUUUCCCCUAUUAUAUGUUCCAUUUAGUUUGUUCUACUUACUAAACUUUAAGUUGCUGCAUUAGAAAAAAUGUUAUGUACUAUUAUAAUUUAUCCUUUCACUUUCCAUCUUUUUUUUUAUUCAUAUGAAGCUUUGGUAGCAUGUGAGGAAAAGUUAAAUGAGAUCACAAACCUUACAAAUGAAACAGGGGAAGCCAUCUUUUGACAUAACAUAGUACUUGGAUUUCAUGUCAAAGGGAGGCGUGGUAAUUGACAAAUAAAUCUUUAAUUAAGGUUUCUUUUUGUUUUUUUUCAUAAUUGUUAUAGAAUAUUAAUUUGAAGAAUUCAAAUGAAGAUAUUGUUACUCGUGGUAAGAUUUUUUUUAUCUUCAUGGGGUUUUGUUAUAAUAUAUUUUUGAGUUUUUGAUCUGACAUUUUUGUAGAUAUUGUGUUUAUGCUAGAACAACUGUUAUCUAGAUUGUCUUUGUUGAUGUUACAGGUGAAGGUGGAAAAUAGAGCUUGAAAAGUGGAUGUAAGCUUCAAACUCUCUCACACCAGUUUUUAAGAAACGACGAGGAUGAGAACUACUACACUUUCAAAAUCCAGAAGAAUCCGCAAGGGGAGUUCGCUUCGUGGAGUAUCAGUUGAAUGGAAGUCCAACUCCUGAUUUUCCAUGUCAAUGAAAAUAUUGAGAAUAUUAAUGAUCAUUAUUGGACAUUAUGAGCAGAAGAGAUUUUGGCACUGUGAUGUAGGGUGGGACUGACACUGUAUUUUCUUCCCAUGAAGCAUUUGUGACUAACCUAUUUUUAAAACACUGAUAUUAUGCAUAAUGUCUCAUUUUAAAAUGAAUGUUGGCUUUCAGUAUGUGAUGGUUUCAAAAUUAAAAGUUUCUCUUUUUUUUUUAAACUUUGCACUCAAGGUUUUGUUGACAUCAUCUUCUCUAUGCUGAA
Vicia villosa (hairy vetch) is the source of this 1112-nucleotide long non-coding RNA. RefSeq lists it as uncharacterized. The transcript has 3 exons. NCBI's taxonomy places the organism in Eukaryota, Viridiplantae, Streptophyta, Magnoliopsida, Fabales, Fabaceae. The record is from RefSeq and is a predicted model, not a curated record.